GCCACCAUGGCUGGGACACCUGGGGGACACCAUGGCCACCAUUGGGACCACUGAGGGGACAUUGUGGUCAUCACUGGGAUCACUGAGGGGACAUCGAGGCCACCAUUGGGACAUCACCUGGGGGGUGACCACGGCUGAGGACACUGAGGGGACACCCCUAUGGAGUGACCAUGGCCUGGAUGACCAUGGGGACAUCCCAACAAAGCCACCCCAGCUCCCACAGCAGUGUCCUCUCAGUGUCCCCUCAAUGUCCCCUCAAUGUCCCCUCAGUGUCCCCUCAGUGUCCCCAGGCCCUUGGGCUCUCACACGGUGCCACCACAGCUCCUGUCCCACGGGGAGCCACCAAAACCCCCCCGAGAUCCCUGAGGGGCUCCAGGACCCCCAAAUCCUGGGAUCAAGGUGGAUCUAGGAGGGAUCUGGAGGGAUCCAGGAGGAUCUGGGGGUGUCCAGGGGAUAUCUGGGGGUGUCCAGGGGGGAUCUGGAAGGUCCAGGUGGGAUCUGGUGGAUUCUGGUGGAGUCUGGAGCAUCUGUGUGAGAUCUGGGGGAUCCAGGAGGGAUCUGAAGAAUCCGUGAGAAAUUUGGAAGGUCCAGGUGGGAUCUGGAGGAUCCAGGUGGGAUCUGGAGGAUCCUGAUGGAGUCUGGAGCAUCUGUGUGACCUCUGGAGGAUCCAGGAAAGAUUUGGAGGAUCCAGGAGGGAUCUGAAGAAUCCGUGUGAAAUCUGGAAGGUCCAGGUGGGAUCUGGAAGGUCCAGGUGGGAUCUGGAGGAUCCAGGAAGGUUCUGGAGGAGCCGGGCAGGAUCUGGUGGAGCCAGAAAGGAUCUGGUGCCGAGGUGGAGCCUUGGAAGCUUCAAACAGUGCUGGGAGAGAGCUCAGGGAGAGCCCCAGGGUGCAGAUGGAGCUGGGAUCUGGCGGGAUCCUGGCUGGGAUCUGGGUUCAAUCCUGGUGGAUCCUGGCUGGGAUCUGGGUUCAACGCCAGCUGGAUUUGGGCUGGAUCCCAGCUGGAUCUGGGCUGGAUCCCAGCUGGAUCUGGGCUGGAUCCCAGCAGAUCCCUCAGUUGCUCCAGCACAAUCCACGGCCCUGCUGGGUGGCUCUGGGCUCAGUCCUGGUGGAUCCUGGCUGGAUCUGGAUUCAGUCUUGGCUGGAUUUGGGCUGGAUUUGGGCUGGAUCCCAGUGGAUCCCUCAGCUGCUUCAGCACUGCCCACAGCCCUGCUGGGUCUGGGUUCAAUCCUGGUGGAUCUGGGCUCAAUCCCAGCUGGAUCCCAGUUCAGAUCCCAGUAGAUCCCAUCAGAUCCCAUGGAUCCCUCAGUUGCUGCAGCACUGCCCACGGCCCUGCGGGUUGGAUCUGGACUCAGUCCUGGUGGAUCCUGGUUGUGAUCCUGGGUCAAUCCCAAUGGAUCUUGGCUGGAUUUGACCUGGAUUUGGGCUGGAUCCCG
Molecule: long non-coding RNA, 1432 nt
Filed under: Junco hyemalis (dark-eyed junco)
Lineage: Eukaryota; Metazoa; Chordata; Aves; Passeriformes; Passerellidae
Description: lncRNA (ENSJHYG00000000919.1)
Source: RNAcentral